Lolium rigidum is the source of this 317-nucleotide long non-coding RNA. RefSeq lists it as uncharacterized. The transcript has 3 exons. The record is from RefSeq and is a predicted model, not a curated record. NCBI's taxonomy places the organism in Eukaryota, Viridiplantae, Streptophyta, Magnoliopsida, Poales, Poaceae.
CACAGCUAAAGUUUAACACAGAAAAUACAGAUAGUUUCGCCAGUGCUUCCUUGGAUGGCACGGUCAAGAUCUGGAGCAUUCAUUCUGAUGGCGGUUGCAUUAUCACUUUGGACGUGUGUCCGGAAGGCCUGCUCUGUGUUGAUUACUUCAAACGCCGUGAUCGAUGGCAUCUGAUCACUGGCACUAUGUACGGGGCAGCACAGAUCUGGGACCUGGAAAUGGAACUCGUUGAAGGAUGUGAUGGAAAGAAGGGAUGUGUUGAAAAGCUAGAAGGACACGCAGGACGUAUCACAGCUGUCAAUUUAUUCCCAGAGCUU